This is a long non-coding RNA of Parambassis ranga (Indian glassy fish), 1322 nucleotides long. The record is from Ensembl. Lineage: Eukaryota; Metazoa; Chordata; Actinopteri; Ambassidae.
CAAAAGAAAAACAGAAAACAAAAACGUUUCCUGUCUGAUACGAUGAAAAAUUUGCACAGGAAGUUUCUGGCAGAAGAUAAAAGCUCCAUUUCCUACUCCCUCUUUUGUUUGCUCCGACCUUUUUGGGUUUCUCAUCCAACUCUGAGUGAUCGGGACACAUGCAUGUGCAAGAUGCAUGAGAAUCUGGGCUUUCUUGUGCAGAAGCUGCACCAGUUGAAAGUGAUCAACACAGUCAACCUGGAUGAUCUUGUGAAAGCCAUCACAUGUGACACACACAGUAUUGAGUGCAUGUAUGGACAGUGCGCUGAGUGCAAAGAUCUUUCCUGCCCAGUGUCCAGCCAGUAUAAUCCACAGAGUCAAGUGUCUUAUCUCCAGUGGGCAAUUGUGGAUAAGGAGCACAAGAAUGACCCCAAUGGCAAAACAUCUAAAAUCACAAUCAAAAAAGAGCUACUUGGCACACAAGAAGAACUACUGGAACAGAUGAAUCUUCUUCUGCAUAGAUUUAAACGACACAUGUUCAACAUCAACAACCAGUUUUCCCAUUACAGGGCACUGAGGCAUGGCUUGAAAGCACAUGAAUGCUUAAUUCAUGUUGAUUUUUCUGAGAAUUACCUCUGCAAGUACAGCACAGAAAUUCAAGCAGUGCACUUUGGAGCAUCCCACCAGCAGGCAACACUGCACACAGGUGUGCUUUAUAUGCAUGCAAUGCCUCAGCCAAUGUCCUUCUGUACAGUGUCACCUUCAAGACAAAAAGGCCCACCAGCUAUCUGGCAGUAUUUGUCACCAGUGCUUGAUUACCUACAAAGUGCACAUCCAGAGGUCUCUACUAUCCACUUUUACAGUGAUGGCCCUUGUACUCAGUACAAACAGCGUGGAAAUUUUUUCCUGUUUUGCACUGAGCUGUUCAGAAGAGGAUUCGCUGCUGGCACAUGGAACUUCUUUGAAGCAAGCCAUGGGAAGGGUGCCCCAGAUGGUGUGGGAGGGGCACUGAAGAGAAGGGCUGACAGUCUGGUCAGCAAAGGGACAGAUAUUCCUGAUGCUGCAGAGCUGUUUUCUGCGUUGCAAAAGACAGACACAACAAUAAAGUUGUUUUUUGUCAAAGAGGAAGCUGUUGAAAAAGCAGUUUCAAUGAUGCCCAACAACGUGCCACCAAUUCCAUCAACCAUGAGAAUGCAUCAGGCAGUAACCCUAACUCAUGGCAAACUAAUGUACAGGGAUGUCAGCUGUUUGUGCUCAGAAACACAAAAUCUUAAGUGUGAAUGUUUCAACACAAAGCAUUUCGUGUUCAAUCAGCAGGCAGCUCCUGGAACUCUCACAGACAC